AAUGAUUGAUAGAUCAUUCAUAGAUUUGAAAUACCUUAGGAUAUCAGGACAUGAGUGGAAAAGAAUACUGAACUGAACCGUGAGGCAAAUCUAUUGAAUGCAGGAACAUUAGUAGAAAUUGGAAGUUCCAUAACUAAAGAAGGUAUGGUUACAGCUGCAUGGCAUAAACCAAAGUUUUCAUAGGCAAUAAACCAAGGUUUUUAUAGAUGGGUGAGGCUCUAAAAGACUAUGAAAUGAAGAGGACACUGAUCCCAUUACUUGAUGCAAAGCUACAUUUAAUGUGGGAGAAAUAGCAGCUUCAAUCUGAUGGCUGGGCAAGAGAAGUGUUAUCCAGAGAUAAACUUGUUGAAAUUAAGGUUACAGAAAGUUACAGUCAGUAAAAGGAGGUUAAAUUGUAACACAGAUUGUUAAAAUAUAAUGGAAGUUUAAAAGAUAUAAAGGAGAAGUAAGAGAUGAGAUCAGUGGUAGAUUUAGUCAGGGGAAAAGAAACAAUAGUUAGAAGGAAAUCAGACAGCUGAAUGAAUUUACAUUCUGGUACCUGAUCAAGGAUGUGUGGAUUAAGCUGCUUGACAGUUACAAGAAAUCCUGGUUUUCCUUUUGUGGAUGGCAAUGAACAGGGCUUAUAGAGACAAAUUAACAAGAAGUGGCUGGAUCUCACACACAUUUGGAAAGGUAAGUUUAAAUUUUCUUAAAACUAGUUUUAAAACAUUCUAUAAAAUAAAUUAAUGAAGCAAAAUUUAUUUUAAACUAUUUUUCAGACUACUUAGAGCUGGAUAUAACUUCAAAGGUCAUCAAGCUCAUUUUGUUGUUAAGGAAACAAAUCCUGAGAAAAGGAAGUUUAUACCCAAUGUAACAGUGAUAGCAUCAAGGCCAAAACUCAGGUUCCCUAACUCACAAUCCAGUAAUUUUUGCAAGACACAUCACUAAAUCUUUCUGUUUUGGUGGUUAUUUGUCUCGUGGUUAUUUGGUGGAAUCAGUAUGUGUAUGUCUGUUAGAGUUAGGAAUCUGUUGGUCCAUAGAAGUUUGACAGCCAUAUGACAGUGUAUGAGCAGAAAAAAUUUCCCCUCUCCCAUUCUAGGUUUUUUGGCUGGUCUAAUAAUCAAAUUGACAUAAGGCAGAUUAAGA
This 1125-nucleotide long non-coding RNA is filed under the name Canis lupus familiaris (dog). RNAcentral's name for it is "lncRNA (ENSCAFG00000051697.1, ENSCAFG00805015939.1)". Lineage: Eukaryota; Metazoa; Chordata; Mammalia; Carnivora; Canidae. The record is from RNAcentral.